CUACGGGUGGCUCCAGUGAGGAAUAUUGCACAAUGGGGGGAACCCUGAUGCAGCAACGCUGCGUGGAGGACGACGCAUUUCGGUGUGUAAACUCCUUUUAUAUGUCAAGAAAAUGACGGUAGCAUAUGAAUAAGCACCGGCUAACUCCGUGCCAGCAGCCGCGGUAAUACGGAGGGUGCAAGCGUUACUCGGAAUCACUGGGCGUAAAGGACACGUAGGCGGGUUGGAAAGUCAGGUGUGAAAUCCUACAGCUUAACUGUAGAACUGCACUUGAAACUUCUAAUCUAGAGUAUGGGAGGGGGAGAUGGAAUUAGUGGUGUAGGGGUAAAAUCCGUAGAUAUCACUAGGAAUACCUAAAGCGAAGGCGAUCUCCUGGAACAUUACUGACGCUAAGGCGUGAAAGCGCGGGGAGCAAACAGGAUUAGAUACCCCGGUAGUC
Molecule: ribosomal RNA, 439 nt
Filed under: uncultured bacterium
Lineage: Bacteria
Description: partial 16S ribosomal RNA
Rfam family: Bacterial small subunit ribosomal RNA
Source: RNAcentral